RNAcentral lists this ribosomal RNA (216 nucleotides) under Glomeromycotina sp. RNAcentral's name for it is "partial small subunit ribosomal RNA". The stretch from base 46 to 216 matches the Rfam family "Eukaryotic small subunit ribosomal RNA", at positions 692 to 864 of the family's 1831-position model. Lineage: Eukaryota; Fungi; Glomeromycota. The record is from RNAcentral.
GGGUCAGUAGGUUGGUCGUGCCACCGGUACGUACUGGUCUCACCGAUUCCUCCUUCCUGAAGAGCCGUAAUGCCAUUAAUUUGGUGUUGCGGGGAAACAGGACUGUUACUUUGAAAAAAUUAGAGUGUUUAAAGCAAGCUAACGCUUGAAUACAUUAGCAUGGAAUAAUGAAAUAGGACGAUCGAUCCUAUUUUGUUGGUUUCUAGGAUUGACGUA